Molecule: non-coding RNA, 28 nt
Filed under: Homo sapiens (human)
Lineage: Eukaryota; Metazoa; Chordata; Mammalia; Primates; Hominidae
Source: RNAcentral
GCGGUGACACUGUAUAAACACGAUGACC